GCAUAUCAAUAAGCGGAGGAAAAGAAACUAACAAGGAUCCCCUUAGUAACGGCGAGUGAAGCGGGGUGAGCUCAAAUUUAAAAUCUGGCUGGUUUACUAGUCCGAAUUGUAGUUUAAAGAAGCGUUUUCGGUGGCAGCCUGGGUAUAAAUCCUUUGGAAUAGGGUAUCAUAGAGGGUGAGAAUCCCGUCUUUGACUCAGUGCAUGCUACUAUGUGAUACGUUUUCAAAGAGUCGAGUUGUUUGGGAAUGCAGCUCAAAAUGGGUGGUAAAUUUCAUCUAAGGCUAAAUAUUGGCGAGAGACCGAUAGCGAACAAGUACCGUGAGGGAAAGAUGAAAAGAACUUUGAAAAGAGAGUUAAACAGUGCGUGAAAUUGUUGAAAGGGAAACGUUUGACACCAGUCAUGCGGGUGGGAAAUCAGUCUUUUGCAGUGGGGAGUGGUGAAGGUUCGGACCGCAAGGCCGGCCUGUGCCUCAUCUCUGCUGUAAGUGAUGCACUUUUCCAUCGGCAGGUCAACAUCAGUUUCUUCUGCUGGACAAAACUCCGAGAGAAGGUAGCAGCUUAGGCUGUGUUAUAGCUCUGGAGCGAUACAGUGGUGGGGACUGAGGUUUUCGCAGUGUGUGCUUUCGGGCAAGGCUGACCGGGUGCUAUGGGAUCGUUCAGUGUACAAUGCAUGCAUUUUGCGCUGUGUCUUUUCUAUACUCGCCUGGCUUGGCUCUCCACACUAGGAUG
Molecule: ribosomal RNA, 730 nt
Filed under: Podila horticola
Lineage: Eukaryota; Fungi; Mortierellomycota; Mortierellomycetes; Mortierellales; Mortierellaceae
Description: eukaryotic LSU rRNA
Rfam family: Eukaryotic large subunit ribosomal RNA
Source: RNAcentral